This is a non-coding RNA of Xyrauchen texanus (razorback sucker), 416 nucleotides long. The record is from the annotation of a RefSeq genome assembly. Lineage: Eukaryota; Metazoa; Chordata; Actinopteri; Cypriniformes; Catostomidae.
UAACAGAAGACACAACAACUAAAAUGACAUUCAUCAACAUCCUCAUCUUGAUCUUAGGAAUCCAAUUUCAAGAUUGCACAGGACAGGUGACUGUAAUUCAGACUCCCACACUGAAACCUGCUCAGUAUGGAAACACAGUCACUUUGACCUGUAAAACCAGCAGCUCCAUUGGACGCCCCUCAGAUGGUCACUGUAACAAUUGUAUGUCCUGGUACUUACAGAAACCUGGAGAAACUCCUAAACUCCUCAUUUAUUAUAUAAAAACUCUUCAGUCUGGAACUCCAUCUAGAUUCAGUGGCAGUGGAUCUGGAAGUGAUUUCACUCUGAGCAUCAGUGGAGUCCAGACUGAAGAUUCAGGAGAUUAUUAUUGUAUGAGCAUACACUGGAUCAGUAAUAGCUGGGUGUUCACACAGUGA